This 253-nucleotide ribosomal RNA is filed under the name uncultured bacterium. RNAcentral's name for it is "partial 16S ribosomal RNA". It matches the Rfam family "Bacterial small subunit ribosomal RNA", at positions 524 to 776 of the family's 1533-position model. The record is from RNAcentral.
UACGAAGGGGGCUAGCGUUGUUCGGAUUUACUGGGCGUAAAGCGCACGUAGGCGGAUUUUUAAGUCAGGGGUGAAAUCCCGAGGCUCAACCUCGGAACUGCCUUUGAUACUGGGGAUCUCGAGUUCGGGAGAGGUGAGUGGAACUGCGAGUGUAGAGGUGAAAUUCGUAGAUAUUCGCAAGAACACCAGUGGCGAAGGCGGCUCACUGGCCCGAUACUGACGCUGAGGCACGAAAGCGUGGGGAGCAAACAGG